RNAcentral lists this ribosomal RNA (491 nucleotides) under uncultured bacterium. Its description in RNAcentral is "partial 16S ribosomal RNA". It matches the Rfam family "Bacterial small subunit ribosomal RNA", at positions 29 to 506 of the family's 1533-position model. The record is from RNAcentral.
AGUGAACGCUGGCGGUAGGCCUAACACAUGCAAGUCGAACGGCAGCACAGUAAGAGCUUGCUCUUACGGGUGGCGAGUGGCGGACGGGUGAGGAAUACAUCGGAAUCUACUUUUUCGUGGGGGAUAACGUAGGGAAACUUACGCUAAUACCGCAUACGACCUACGGGUGAAAGCAGGGGAUCUUCGGACCUUGCGCGAUUGAAUGAGCCGAUGUCGGAUUAGCUAGUUGGCGGGGUAAAGGCCCACCAAGGCGACGAUCCGUAGCUGGUCUGAGAGGAUGAUCAGCCACACUGGAGCUGAGACACGGUCCAGACUCCUACGGGAGGCAGCAGUGGGGAAUAUUGGACAAUGGGCGCAAGCCUGAUCCAGCCAUACCGCGUGGGUGAAGAAGGCCUGCGGGUUGUAAAGCCCUUUUGUUGGGAAAGAAAAGCAGCAGGUUAAUACCCCGCUGUUCUGACGGUACCCAAAGAAUAAGCACCGGCUAACUUCGU